This 404-nucleotide unclassified non-coding RNA is filed under the name soil metagenome. RNAcentral's name for it is "partial contains 5.8S ribosomal RNA, internal transcribed spacer 2, and large subunit ribosomal RNA". The stretch from base 1 to 121 matches the Rfam family "5.8S ribosomal RNA", at positions 35 to 154 of the family's 154-position model. The record is from RNAcentral.
GAUGAAGAACGCAGCGAAAUGCGAUAAGUAAUGUGAAUUGCAGAAUUCAGUGAAUCAUCGAAUCUUUGAACGCACCUUGCGCCCUUUGGCUAUUCCGAAGGGCAUGCCUGUUUGAGUAUCAUGAACACCUCAACUCUCAUGGUUUGCCAUGAUGAGCUUGGACUUUGGGGGUCUUGCCGGCCUAUGGGUCGGCUCCUCUCAAAUUAAUCAGCUUGCCAGUGUUUGGUGGCAUCACAGGUGUGAUAACUAUCUACGCUUGUGGUUUUCCAUCAGGUAACCUUCAGUGAUGGAGGUUCGCUGGGGCUCAUAAAUGUCUCUCCUCAGUGAGGACAGCUUUUUUGAACGUUUGAUCUCAAAUCAGGUAGGACUACCCGCUGAACUUAAGCAUAUCAAUAAGCGGAAGA